AUUUUUAUAAAUUAUUUUAUUUUAAUAUUCAUGAUUUUUUUGGAAAAGAAGGAAUAAAAUAUCAUAUUUUAUUCCCGUUUGAUGAGUUCUAAAUUAUUAUUUAAUAAUCUUUCGGGUCAGUGGGAUUUCGAAUAUAUUUUAUUUAUGUUAUUAUGUGAGUAAUAAAAAUUAUGUGCGAGUUGUGAGAAAUUUGUGUGAUUAUGUGAAUAAUUGUUGGAUGCAUUUUAUCUGUUCGUGCAUCCUUUGAUUUAAAUUAGUUCAUAUAGUCGAUCGUGAUUUAUGACAUCAUGAUUUGAUUAUUUUAGAUAUUCUAAAUAUCUUAUUUUAUUUGAAAGCUUUGGAAUUUAGAUUAAUUUUAUUAAAGUAAGAAUAUUUUCGGGUCCCUACAUUUUAUUUAGAUGAUCACUAGCUUUAUAUUUCAAGAUUGGGAUCCAAAACUUUUAUUAUAUAAAUAUAUCAUAUCUAAAAUUAUUUUAUUAUUAAAAAGAAAAUAGAAGUAGUACAAUUGUACUACACGGGUAGUACAAGCAGGAAAAAAAAAGAGGAGAGAAAAGCAAAACACAUACGCACAAAAACAGAGUAGUAGUCGGUGACUCUGAAAAUUGGGGGUUAGGGUUUGAGUGUCCACGGAAACUUAUAAUCCCAACAUAUAAUUGGGUAUAAACUUUUGUUUUCUUGCUUGAUUUUUGAGUUUUGGCGCAUGUAUAUCUAUAUGUUGUAUUGGGUUCGUAUAUAUAUGUGUGGUUGUACUUGAUUGUGGUGGUGGUUGGAAGUCGUGGGCGUCAGCGGAUGGGUGGUGGCAGGGUUGUGUCACAGCCGCCACGAGAAGAGAAAGGGAGUUGAGGCGAGGCACCGGAGGUUGGACGGCGCUACACGGCCGUGAAAGCAGCGGCGUCGCAAUCGGAAUGUUGAUGAUAGGCUAUGGGAAGGUGGCUCCAUUUUCCCGAUGAGCACUUCACCAUCACCCCUGCAUCUCUUGUUCCGAAUCAAUGGCUAGAUACAAAGAUGGUUCGCUUGUUUGGGUUGCGCUUAAGAAUAACGCUAGGCAAGGAUUUCAAGUGAGUAUGUCAGACCUCGAUGGUCAGGAUAAGUAUUUUGGAAGAUGUCAAGGGAACUAGUUGUGAUUAAGAUGGUAUAAUUUUGAUUCAGAUGUAAAGCAGAUUUAAGUUUUGGUUAUCAGUUAUUCUUCUUGUCGAAGUUUAUCUGGUAAUGUAGAAUAUGUUGUAUUAGAUUCAUAUUUUCGAUUUUCUGAUUUCAAUACUAUAGCCUGUAUGCGAUCCUGUUUUCAGGGGGUGAAAUUGAAUUUUACUUUAAAUCAUUUUAAAAAUAUCCAGGUUUCAAAAUAAUUGUUUUUAGCUUCUUUCAAAAAUACAGGUUUUAAAUUGUUUUUCUUUUAGUGGCACCAAAUCCAGACCCCCGGAUUUGAGGGAUGUCACAGUUGGUAUCAGAGCUACAGGUUAUAAGGUAUUGAAAUCAGAAUGUAGGUGGGAGCAACGUGGUUAAUAAGAGAGAUGUGCCAAGUGAAACCUCUUGUAGAGGUAAGUUAAGACUAUUGGGUAUAGUCUCUGUUAAUAGAAUUGAGAUUGAGUUAGAAUAUUGAAAUCGAGUAUUCAUUUGGUAUAUCAUAGUUCCUAAUUUUAGAAUUAAUGAGUUUGGUUCUCAUGAGAAACAUGAUAGACCACAUUUGGUUCGGAAUCGUUAUUUAGAGGUUUUAUGAUUAGAGCUAGUUGAUGUCAGACCAAUGGUUAUUUUCACACUCUCUAGAGUAUUCCUUGCUACGGAGAGAGUUGUUUGGAGAAUUGCCGAUUGCCCCUUGUGAAUUGAAUAUAGAGUUUGUACCUGACUAUGAAAGCUGCAGGGUCAAAGUAAGAGUCCCCGCAUAUAGUUAAGUAAUGAAUGCUAAAGUUUAUCUAGAACACGUGUAGAUUAGUGGAUAUACUGAUAUAGUACUCAUGAGUAAAUUAAGACGUCAACACUUAGUUGUGAUGGUUGUACGAAACUCGAUAAGAUUUUGGACUGUGCGAAGCUGAGCAGGACUCCUGAUGAUCGUGGAUAUUUAUAUAUCAAUCUUCAAAGACCCUUGCGAGUCGAUGAUAAAGUACAAUAUUAAGCAUUAUCGAAUACUGAGAAGAAAGGACUAUAAUCGAAUAGAGGUCCAUUAGAAGAAUAGAUCGAGAAAAUACAUGUGAGACUCUUGGUAAUACCUUCCUCUUUUGUCGAUUAUAUUGAUUCAUUUCCUUCGAGUGAUUUGUUUUUACCUUUAUUUCGUGAAGAUGUUUGAUAAAGAAUAUUGUUCCCUCUCUCUUGGUCUGUAAAGUGAUGUUUGUGCUUAUUGAAUCAUUAUUGACCAUUCUUUUUAGCGAAACUAGGACAUUUGGAAUCUAUUUGAUUUUGAAUCCUAAGUCUGCGUCUGAGGUCCAUUCAUCAAAAGAUAAUCAUUGUCAACUCGAUUUUGAACUACUUUUGGUAUUUCCUUAUUCCAACUGAGAUGAACAACCCGAGUUGUGGGGGACACAAGAACUACCUGUCUGUGUGAUAGGGGUUGGAUGGGACGCCAUCACUUGUGUGUGUUGUACAUACAAGAAGGUUAACUACCUUUAGUAGUGUCUGAAUAAAGACACGCAACACCGAGUUUUUUAGAUCAUAUUGAUCUCUCAGUUAUUUCCUUAUUCAAUGACAUAACACUUGCUUCAAUACAUGAAAUCUAUCAUGUUUCAAUAUUCAAGAUUCUUGUAAUCUCUAGUAGUCUGAAGGUAUGCCAACUGAGUUGCCAACAUGGGUUAAGCCUUCGUAAGAGGGGGUACCAAGAGCAAAAUCAGAUGAUGAUGCGGGUAUACGAAAUCGAUUAAGAGGAUUCCAUAUAAAAAAAAAAGAAUAUUAUGGUUUAAAGAGAUCGUACACUUUAGUUUUCUCUUCGUUGAUUCCGAGGACGGAAUCCUUUUAAGGGGGGUAGAUUGUGACAACCCAUAUUUUUAUAAAUUAUUUUAUUUUAAUAUUCAUGAUUUUUUUGGAAAAGAAGGAAUAAAAUAUCAUAUUUUAUUCCCGUUUGAUGAGUUCUAAAUUAUUAUUUAAUAAUCUUUCGGGUCAGUGGGAUUUCGAAUAUAUUUUAUUUAUGUUAUUAUGUGAGUAAUAAAAAUUAUGUGCGAGUUGUGAGAAAUUUGUGUGAUUAUGUGAAUAAUUGUUGGAUGCAUUUUAUCUGUUCGUGCAUCCUUUGAUUUAAAUUAGUUCAUAUAGUCGAUCGUGAUUUAUGACAUCAUGAUUUGAUUAUUUUAGAUAUUCUAAAUAUCUUAUUUUAUUUGAAAGCUUUGGAAUUUAGAUUAAUUUUAUUAAAGUAAGAAUAUUUUCGGGUCCCUAUAUUUUAUUUAGAUGAUCACUAGCUUUAUAUUUCAAGAUUGGGAUCCAAAACUUUUAUUAUAUAAAUAUAUCAUAUCUAAAAUUAUUUUAUUAUUAAAAAGAAAAUAGAAGUAGUACAAUUGUACUACACGGGUAGUACAAGCAGGAAAAAAAAAGAGGAGAGAAAAGCAAAACACAUACGCACAAAAACAGAGUAGUAGUCGGUGACUCUGAAAAUUGGGGGUUAGGGUUUGAGUGUCCACGGAAACUUAUAAUCCCAACAUAUAAUUGGGUAUAAACUUUUGUUUUCUUGCUUGAUUUUUGAGUUUUGGCGCAUGUAUAUCUAUAUGUUGUAUUGGGUUCGUAUAUAUAUGUGUGGUUGUACUUGAUUGUGGUGGUGGUUGGAAGUCGUGGGCGUCAGCGGAUGGGUGGUGGCAGGGUUGUGUCACAGCCGCCACGAGAAGAGAAAGGGAGUUGAGGCGAGGCACCGGAGGUUGGACGGCGCUACACGGCCGUGAAAGCAGCGGCGUCGCAAUCGGAAUGUUGAUGAUAGGCUAUGGGAAGGUGGCUCCAUUUUCCCGAUGAACACUUCACCAUCACCCCUGCAUCUCUUGUUCCGAAUCAAUGGAACCGAGCUAUGUGCGUAUCGAGGACGUUAUUAAGUAGUCGAAUUGAAAAGCAAGUUGAAACUGGAAUGAUCUGAAAAGACGAAGCUAUGUCGUGGAUGGAAUCUUGUCAAAAGCAAAGCGAGAAUAUACAGUAUAGGAAAGGCUCUACUAGGUGACAAGAAAAUAGGUUCUUUGAACAAGAAGGAAAGCGAAUAAGGCAAGUAACUUUCCUCUUUCUUUUAAGCAGCUUAAUGAUGAGUACUGUCACCUUUGAACUACCUUUUGAAUUAUGAAAGCCUGAUUUCCUUUCUCAUUGAAUAUGAUGUCUCACUUUUGAGUACAAGCUCUUUCAUGAUGAUCUUGCUUUUGUAUCCAGCAUAUUUUUAUCUUGAAAUAUCUUUCACUUGAUCGAAUGAUGUUUCCUUUCCAUGUACUUGACCUCACAAAAAUAUGGCACUUGUUUCUAUAAUUGAAACUAAGAAUGAUUUUAGACUUGCAAGUGUCCUAAUGAUUUGAAAGGUUGGUAAGUUUUUAAAAUGAAAGAUAUUUUUUUAAA
Long non-coding RNA from Daucus carota subsp. sativus, 4497 nucleotides. RefSeq lists it as uncharacterized. The record is from RefSeq and is a predicted model, not a curated record. The transcript has 3 exons. NCBI's taxonomy places the organism in Eukaryota, Viridiplantae, Streptophyta, Magnoliopsida, Apiales, Apiaceae.